This 506-nucleotide ribosomal RNA is filed under the name uncultured bacterium. RNAcentral describes it as "bacterial SSU rRNA". It matches the Rfam family "Bacterial small subunit ribosomal RNA", at positions 9 to 526 of the family's 1533-position model. The record is from RNAcentral.
GAGUUUGAUCCUGGCUCAGGACGAACGCUGGCGGCGCGCCUAACACAUGCAAGUCGAACGGAGCUGAGAGGAGCUUGCUUUUCUUAGCUUAGUGGCGAACGGGUGAGUAACGCGUGAGUAACCUGCCCUGGAGUGGGGGACAACAGUUGGAAACGGCUGCUAAUACCGCAUAAGCCCACGAUCCGGCAUCGGAUUGAGGGAAAAGGAUUUAUUCGCUUCAGGAUGGACUCGCGUCCAAUUAGCUAGUUGGUGAGGUAACGGCCCACCAAGGCGACGAUCAGUAGCCGACCUGAGAGGGUGAUCGGCCACAUUGGAACUGAGACACGGUCCAAACUCCUACGGGAGGCAGCAGUGGGGAAUAUUGCACAAUGGGCGAAAGCCUGAUGCAGCAACGCCGCGUGAGCGAUGAAGGCCUUCGGGUCGUAAAGCUCUGUCCUCAAGGAAGAUAAUGACGGUACUUGAGGAGAAAGCCCCGGCUAACUACGUGCCAGCCGCCGCGGUAAUAC